This 592-nucleotide ribosomal RNA is filed under the name Astyanax jordani. Its description in RNAcentral is "partial 16S large subunit ribosomal RNA". It matches the Rfam family "Bacterial large subunit ribosomal RNA", at positions 1808 to 2609 of the family's 2925-position model. Lineage: Eukaryota; Metazoa; Chordata; Actinopteri; Characiformes; Acestrorhamphidae. The record is from RNAcentral.
CAAAAACAUCGCCUCCCUGCAAAAAUCAAUGUAUAAGAGGUCCUACCUGCCCAGUGAUUUAAUUAAACGGCCGCGGUAUUUUGACCGUGCAAAGGUAGCGCAAUCACUUGUUUUUUAAAUAAAGACCUGUAUGAAUGGUGAAACGAGGGCUUAACUGUCUCCCUUUUCUGAUCAGUGAAAUUGAUCUACCCGUGCAGAAGCGGGUAUAAGAAUACAAGACGAGAAGACCCUAUGGAGCUUAAGACACAAAAUCAACUAUGUUAAAAACCCCUAUUAAAAGAAUAAAACAAAACAGCAACUGAUUAGCGUCUUCGGUUGGGGCGACCACGGGGGAAAACCAAUCCCCCACGUGGAACGGGAUUACUCCUAAAACCAUGAGGGACACCUCUAAGUCACAGAACCUCUGACCAAAUGAUCCGGUAAAUAACCGAUCAACGAACCAAGUUACCCUAGGGAUAACAGCGCAAUCCCCUUCAAGAGUUCAUAUCGACAAGGGGGUUUUACGACCUCGAUGUUGGAUCAGGACAUCCUAAUGGUGCAGCCGCUAUUAAGGGUUCGUUUGUUCAACGAUUAAAGUCCUACGUGAUCUGAG